This 206-nucleotide ribosomal RNA is filed under the name uncultured bacterium. RNAcentral's name for it is "partial 16S ribosomal RNA". It matches the Rfam family "Bacterial small subunit ribosomal RNA", at positions 568 to 774 of the family's 1533-position model. The record is from RNAcentral.
AGCGUAGACGGUGUGGCAAGUCUGAUGUGAAAGGCAUGGGCUCAACCUGUGGACUGCAUUGGAAACUGUCAUACUUGAGUGCCGGAGGGGUAAGCGGAACUCCUAGUGUAGCGGUGAAAUGCGUAGAUAUUAGGAGGAACACCAGUGGCGAAGGCGGCUUACUGGACGGUAACUGACGUUGAGGCUCGAAAGCGUGGGAGCAAACA